Molecule: non-coding RNA, 32 nt
Filed under: Geobacter sulfurreducens KN400
Lineage: Bacteria; Pseudomonadati; Thermodesulfobacteriota; Desulfuromonadia; Geobacterales; Geobacteraceae
Source: RNAcentral
UUGAACGCACUAUUUUGCGUUGACUACCGUAA